This 433-nucleotide ribosomal RNA is filed under the name uncultured bacterium. Its description in RNAcentral is "partial 16S ribosomal RNA". It matches the Rfam family "Bacterial small subunit ribosomal RNA", at positions 29 to 507 of the family's 1533-position model. The record is from RNAcentral.
AACGAACGCUGGCGGCAUGCCUAACACAUGCAAGUCGAACGAGACCUUCGGGUCUAGUGGCGCACGGGUGCGUAACGCGUGGGAACCUGCCCUUAGGUUCGGAAUAACUCCCCGAAAGGGGUGCUAAUACCGGAUAAUGUCUUCGGACCAAAGAUUUAUCGCCGUUGGAUGGGCCCGCGUUGGAUUAGCUAGUUGGUAGGGUAAAAGCCUACCAAGGCGACGAUCCAUAGCUGGUCUGAGAGGAUGAUCAGCCACACUGGGACUGAGACACGGCCCAGACUCCUACGGGAGGCAGCAGUGGGGAAUAUUGGACAGUGGGCGAAAGCCUGAUCCAGCAAUGCCGCGUGAGUGAUGAAGGCCUUAGGGUUGUAAAGCUCUUUUACCCGGGAUGAUAAUGACAGUACCGGGAGAAUAAGCUCCGGCUAACUCCGUG